GACGAACGCUGGCGGCGUGCUUAACACAUGCAAGUCGAACGGAAAGGCCCUGCUUUUGUGGGGUGCUCGUGUGGCGAACGGGUGAGUAACACGUGAGUAACCUGCCCUUGACUUUGGGAUAACUUCAGGAAACUGGGGCUAAUACCGGAUAGGAGCUCCUGCUGCAUGGUGGGGGUUGGAAAGUUUCGGCGGUGGGGGAUGGACUCGCGGCUUAUCAGCUUGUUGGUGGGGUAGUGGCUUACCAAGGCUUUGACGGGUAGCCGGCCUGAGAGGGUGACCGGCCACAUUGGGACUGAGAUACGGCCCAGACUCCUACGGGAGGCAGCAGUGGGGAAUAUUGCACAAUGGGCGGAAGCCUGAUGCAGCAACGCCGCGUGCGGGAUGACGGCCUUCGGGUUGUAAACCGCUUUCGCCUGUGACGAAGCGUGAGUGACGGUAAUGGGUAAAGAAGCACCGGCUAACUACGUG
RNAcentral lists this ribosomal RNA (468 nucleotides) under uncultured bacterium. RNAcentral's name for it is "partial 16S ribosomal RNA". It matches the Rfam family "Bacterial small subunit ribosomal RNA", at positions 28 to 507 of the family's 1533-position model. The record is from RNAcentral.